CUUCACAUUCAGAAACUCUAAGGCGGUUGUUUGCAGAGAGAUCUCCCGGUAAUUAGUUUUAUAGGCUGAGCUGAACUUCCUGUUUGCUUUGAUGGGUCAUCUCCUGCUAUAAGACCCAUGGACAUCUGGAGUAACUGACUUGCUGAAUCUCUGCGUGCAGAAGAGAGAUCCCAGCUCGCUGUAAACCCUGCUUACCCUAGGACCCCGUGCUCUCUCGGCAUGUCUCGAGGGCAGGUGGAGAAGACUGUGUCUGCUCUACUCCUCCACCUGCCCUCGUGUUACAGGAAGAAGGGGGAGGGCCAUGUGUUGGCCAUAGCUUUUCAACCACGUGCCUAUGUGCAGUGCAAGCAGUAGCUAAAGAACACUCAUAAGUUACCAGUGCUCUACACUCUUAUUUUCUCCUGGAGAUUCCUCUUACUGUGCCCUGCUUUUGGAAGAAGCUCUUUUGUUUUUCAUUUAGCCAGAAGGACUUGCUGUCUUUAGCAAUCUCUCGCUACAGUAGAGCCCCAUUUGGGAUGAACGUGAAGCAGAGUGCUAGGAGCUCUUGAGAACGGACUCACCCAGACACCCACGUUGUACCAAUGGCGAGCGGUCUGAACAGCCAUCUGUCCCACCUGGCAUGUUGACCAGUUCCUGAGUAGAAAGUAUGGAAGAACCUGGCCGGUGCUUCCAGGAGCAAGAAUAUUUUCACAUCAGGGUAGCAGAAUCGGAGACAGAGACUCCUUCCCCUUUCCACGGGAGGAUGGAAAGGCAUCAGGAGAACGGGGCUGGGCGUGACCCACCGCAGCAUCGCUGUGGGCUUUGUCUCCACGGAGCCAAUUCAGAGGCGCAUGGUGGAGCAUCAGAAGCCAACACAGCACAGCAUCUCUGCUGGGCUUUGUGCCUCCCUCCGCUGAUUGUCACCACAAAGCCGGAGGCACCACACAGGGAAUGGCUGACUCUUCAAGGCAAGAAGAGUUUUGUGUCUCUCUACGGUGAGAGGAUGAAAACCUCGAGACCAGGUAAGUGAAAAUCACCACUUGCAAGAUCACUCCCCACCUUUGCGAUACAUGAGCAUGAUGUAUCUGUACACCACACAGAUAUGUGUUACAGGUGAGUAUCCAUCACUAUUUACCAUAUUCGAAAUUACAACUAAGGCUUUCUAAAACCAUUCUUCAUUUAUUUAGUUUUAAAUCACAAAAAUAAAUGUGGUAUCUGUGUUUUUAAUGGAAUAAUU
This 1216-nucleotide long non-coding RNA is filed under the name Felis catus (domestic cat). RNAcentral's name for it is "lncRNA (ENSFCAG00000041164.2)". The record is from RNAcentral. Lineage: Eukaryota; Metazoa; Chordata; Mammalia; Carnivora; Felidae.